CCCCCUCCCGAAUCAGCGCAGCUCCCUCUCCACUCGUCCAAACCCUAGCCGCGCCCUCCUCCGUGCGCCGCCGCCCCCAUCGAUUCCGCCCAACACCGCCGUCCCCCUCUACUCGCUCUCCUCCAUGAGCCGGAUCCCAACCUCCUCCGGCUCCCCUUCCACUCACUCUCCCGAAUUCCGCACACCCACAACCGCCGCCCUCUCCCACCCUCAGAUCUCGAUCCGAUCCAGAUCAACGCCGCCACAGCUUCCCCUCGCCGGCGGCGGCGCGCUCCCUCCCUCGCCCUCUCCUCCUUCCCUCCUCACGAGCGCCUCCACCACGCCACAAACCCCGGCGACGGCCUCGUGUAGAUCCCAUCCUGCUCCGUGUCGCUGCUCUCCCGGCCAUCUCUCCGUUCCCCCAUAGCCACACCUCAUCCUCGUCCCCCUCCCCCGGUCCCGUCCCUAGCCCCGCCCGGAUGGGGACGGGACUCUCGCCGCUGCACGCAGACGCAGAGGAGGAGAGGGAGUCGACGAGCGAUGGCGGCUGGGACUGGUCGGGUGCUGCCGCCGCUGGCCGUGGUGGCGGCGCUCGCGGCGGCGCUCCUCUACACCGCGCCCUUCUCCAAGAGCCUCGGCGGGGAAGGGUGCAGCCUGCUCCCGCACGGCCACUUCUGGAUCGCUAGCCAGCGGGUCGUUUGUGCUUUUGCAGGGUUCUGAGGCUGCAGCCUGGGCACCAUCAGGGUGGACUACAUAGCCAGCGACCAGCGAGUGCAUGGGUGGCGCAAGUGGUGAAGGAGAGCGGUCGGAGACUGUAAUUGAGCUUGUGCUAGUGCUGCUGAUCCUGCUUGGAUGGGCAUGCUGCCUCUUCCAUGUGGACUACAUGACAACCAUGAUUUUGGCCUUCAUUCCUCAAAAGUUGGCGUACAAGGAACUCCAGGAGAAUAAUCCCGAAGAAAACCCUGUAGCUGGAGCUGGCCAUAUUAAUAUUUAGUUGUAUUUUAUAGUUGAAUACCUGAUUUAUACUGCCAUGAUUGUAAAGUACUUUAGUUGCUGUUUAAAAUAUGAUGUAUUAUUGGCUCUGUUUGAAUCAAGUUAUUUGUUGUGUGUUAUGUGUUAUUUGAAUC
Triticum urartu is the source of this 1106-nucleotide long non-coding RNA. RefSeq lists it as uncharacterized. NCBI's taxonomy places the organism in Eukaryota, Viridiplantae, Streptophyta, Magnoliopsida, Poales, Poaceae. The record is from RefSeq and is a predicted model, not a curated record.